CGGGAAAACUCACCAGGUCAGGACACGGUAAGGAUUGACGGACUGAAGGCUCUUUCUCGAUUCCGUGGAAAGUGGUGCAUGGCCGUUUUUGGUUGGUGGAUCGAUCCGUCUGGUUAAUUCCGUUAACGAACGAGACCUCGGCACUCCGAAUAGCGCGGCGGACGUCGCGGCCUCCGGGGCCGUCUUCCGCACGAGCUUCUUAGAGGGACCGUCCCCCGCCGGGGAAGGAGGUGCGAGGCAACGACAGGUCUGUGAUGCCCUUAGAUGUUCUGGGCCGCACGCGCAUUACACUGACGCGUCCAACGGGUGACUCCCGACCCGAAGGGCCGGGGAAUCCGCAAGGCGCGUCGUGAUGGGGAUUGAACGUUGCAAUUGUUGUUCACGAACGAGGAAUUCCUAGUAGGCGCGGGUCAUCAACCCGCGCCGAUUACGUCCCUGCCC
Molecule: ribosomal RNA, 441 nt
Filed under: uncultured eukaryote
Lineage: Eukaryota
Description: bacterial SSU rRNA
Rfam family: Eukaryotic small subunit ribosomal RNA
Source: RNAcentral